UUCCAUUUCAUAAUGAUAACG
RNAcentral lists this non-coding RNA (21 nucleotides) under Caenorhabditis elegans. Lineage: Eukaryota; Metazoa; Nematoda; Chromadorea; Rhabditida; Rhabditidae. The record is from RNAcentral.